Molecule: ribosomal RNA, 643 nt
Filed under: Burkholderia ubonensis
Lineage: Bacteria; Pseudomonadati; Pseudomonadota; Betaproteobacteria; Burkholderiales; Burkholderiaceae
Description: bacterial SSU rRNA
Rfam family: Bacterial small subunit ribosomal RNA
Source: RNAcentral
UUGAACUGAAGAGUUUGAUCCUGGCUCAGAUUGAACGCUGGCGGCAUGCCUUACACAUGCAAGUCGAACGGCAGCACGGGCUUCGGCCUGGUGGCGAGUGGCGAACGGGUGAGUAAUACAUCGGAACAUGUCCUGUAGUGGGGGAUAGCCCGGCGAAAGCCGGAUUAAUACCGCAUACGAUCCACGGAUGAAAGCGGGGGACCUUCGGGCCUCGCGUUAUAGGGUUGGCCGAUGGCUGAUUAGCUAGUUGGUGGGGUAAAGGCCUACCAAGGCGACGAUCAGUAGCUGGUCUGAGAGGACGACCAGCCACACUGGGACUGAGACACGGCCCAGACUCCUACGGGAGGCAGCAGUGGGGAAUUUUGGACAAUGGGGGCAACCCUGAUCCAGCAAUGCCGCGUGUGUGAAGAAGGCCUUCGGGUUGUAAAGCACUUUUGUCCGGAAAGAAAUCCUUGGCCCUAAUACAGUCGGGGGAUGACGGUACCGGAAGAAUAAGCACCGGCUAACUACGUGCCAGCAGCCGCGGUAAUACGUAGGGUGCGAGCGUUAAUCGGAAUUACUGGGCGUAAAGCGUGCGCAGGCGGUUUGCUAAGACCGAUGUGAAAUCCCCGGGCUCAACCUGGGAACUGCAUUGGUGACUGGC